This 58-nucleotide transfer RNA is filed under the name Mus musculus (house mouse). It matches the Rfam family "tRNA", at positions 8 to 63 of the family's 71-position model. Rfam says of the family: Transfer RNA (tRNA) molecules are approximately 80 nucleotides in length. The record is from Rfam by way of RNAcentral. RNAcentral also lists the same sequence under 1 other name. Lineage: Eukaryota; Metazoa; Chordata; Mammalia; Rodentia; Muridae.
UAGCUCAGAGGUUAAGAGCACUGGAUGCUCUUCCAGAGGUCCUGAGUUCAAAUCUCAG